GAUGAACGCUGGCGGCGUGCUUAACACAUGCAAGUCGAACGGAAAGGCCCUGCUUUUGUGGGGUGCUCGAGUGGCGAACGGGUGAGUAACACGUGAGUAACCUGCCCUUGACUUUGGGAUAACUUCAGGAAACUGGGGCUAAUACCGGAUAGGAGCUCCUGCUGCAUGGUGGGGGUUGGAAAGUUUCGGCGGUUGGGGAUGGACUCGCGGCUUAUCAGCUUGUUGGUGGGGUAGUGGCUUACCAAGGCUUUGACGGGUAGCCGGCCUGAGAGGGUGACCGGCCACAUUGGGACUGAGAUACGGCCCAGACUCCUACGGGAGGUAGCAGUGGGGAAUAUUGCACAAUGGGCGGAAGCCUGAUGCAGCAACGCCGCGUGCGGGAUGACGGCCUUCGGGUUGUAAACCGCUUUCGCCUGUGACGAAGCGUGAGUGACGGUAAUGGGUAAAGAAGCACCGGCUAACUACGUG
This 468-nucleotide ribosomal RNA is filed under the name uncultured bacterium. RNAcentral describes it as "partial 16S ribosomal RNA". It matches the Rfam family "Bacterial small subunit ribosomal RNA", at positions 28 to 507 of the family's 1533-position model. The record is from RNAcentral.